CAAGAAACGAGGCCGCGUGCGCUCGCCCGCCCGGCCCCGCUCCUUACCUUGCCUACUGCACCGUUUGUUGCUUCCUGGCGGCGGACUGCCCGCCGGCAGGGACGUUGAUACAACCCUGUAUAGAAGCAUUGAAGCUCUGAGAAAACGCGAAAUCGUA
This 157-nucleotide unclassified non-coding RNA is filed under the name soil metagenome. RNAcentral's name for it is "partial internal transcribed spacer 1". The record is from RNAcentral.